This 253-nucleotide ribosomal RNA is filed under the name uncultured bacterium. RNAcentral describes it as "partial 16S ribosomal RNA". It matches the Rfam family "Bacterial small subunit ribosomal RNA", at positions 524 to 776 of the family's 1533-position model. The record is from RNAcentral.
UACGGAGGGUGCAAGCGUUAAUCGGAAUUACUGGGCGUAAAGCGCUCGUAGGCGGCUGGAUAAGUCGGUUGUGAAAACCCCGGGCUCAACCUGGGAAUGGCAGUGGAUACUGGCAAGCUGGAGUGCGGUAGAGGGGAGUGGAAUUCCCGGUGUAGCGGUGAAAUGCGCAGAUAUCAGGAGGAACACCCGUGGCGAAAGCGGCUCUCUGGAACGGUACUGACGCUGAGACGCGAAAGCGUGGGGAGCGAACAGG